This is a long non-coding RNA of Suricata suricatta (meerkat), 490 nucleotides long. RefSeq lists it as uncharacterized. Lineage: Eukaryota; Metazoa; Chordata; Mammalia; Carnivora; Herpestidae. The transcript has 2 exons. The record is from RefSeq and is a predicted model, not a curated record.
UAGGUGCUUUCAUCUGGAUAAUUCAUGCUUCAUUAUUGUGCCACUAUCCUCUGUCUUGGAUUGUCCCUUGGCUUCUGUGACAAACAGGGGGUUCAGAUCCAAACCCCAGGAGGUAGUGAUGCUUCAAUUUUUGGUAACAUACAGGGUUCACACUGAUUUUCAAAUGAAGAAUUACUAAUUUGACUUCAAAAGGAAGAACUCAGGUGGGUAUUUAUUACACGGAUACCCACAGUCUCAUUCUUUGUAGCCAAUAUAUAUUUCAUGAAUUGUUUUUCACUAUAAUGACAGCUUUAUUAUUUCCAUUAUGUAAACAAUGUUUAUACAUAUUGAAAACUGUCAUAGAUUCGAGAAUACAAAUAUUAAGAAUUAAAUUUCAUCACCCUGAGAUAACCAUUGUUAAUAAUCUACUAGCCAUUUUCUGUGGAAUUCUUUAUGUACACAGAAGUUUAUGUAAAAGGAAUCAUAUUAUACAUCUUCCUUUUAUCAUGGA